CUACGGGCCGCAGCAGACGAGAAUCUUCCGCAAUGGACGAAAGUCUGACGGAGCGACGCCGCGUGCGGGAUGAAGGCCUUCGGGUUGUAAACCGCUGUCAGUGGGGAGGAAAUGCAUCAGGGUUCUCCCUGGUGUUUGACCGAUCCGCAGAGGAAGCGCAGGCUAAGUUCGUGCCAGCAGCCGCGGUAACACGAACUGCGCGAACGUUAUUCGGAAUCACUGGGCUUAAAGAGUUCGUAGGCGGCCUUUCAAGUCGGGUGUGAAAUCCCUCGGCUCAACCGAGGAAUUGCGCCUGAUACUGUUGGGCUUGAGGGGGAUAGGGGUGGGCGGAACUGAUGGUGGAGCGGUGAAAUGCGUUGAUAUCAUCAGGAACACCGGUGGCGAAGGCGGCUCACUGGAUCUCUUCUGACGCUGAGGAACGAAAGCUAGGGGAGCGAACGGGAUUAGAUACCCGCGUAGUC
RNAcentral lists this ribosomal RNA (461 nucleotides) under uncultured bacterium. RNAcentral describes it as "partial 16S ribosomal RNA". It matches the Rfam family "Bacterial small subunit ribosomal RNA", at positions 339 to 795 of the family's 1533-position model. The record is from RNAcentral.